CGUGAGCCUGUUUCUGGUAGCAGUAGCUGUACACAGAAGAGUCACACA
This 48-nucleotide non-coding RNA is filed under the name Spodoptera frugiperda (fall armyworm). The record is from RNAcentral. Lineage: Eukaryota; Metazoa; Arthropoda; Insecta; Lepidoptera; Noctuidae.